AAGUCGUAACAAGGUUUCCGUAGGUGAACCUGCGGAAGGAUCAUUAUCAUAAUCCGAAAACUUUUUUUUAAUAUUUCCCCAAAAGGGAUUAUUAAAAAAAUAUCAACCAACCGUGAACUGUUUUGCCUCCAACGAGGAAGGGUUUGAACAUGCAGGUGAUGCUUGCAUUAGUACUUUCUUUGUUGGUUGUAUUUUAAUAUUUUAUUUAUUAACCCUUCUAACAAAAACUUUUUAAACUUAAAAUUUUGAACUGAAUUAAUUUUCUUUUUCCUUUUCAAAAGGAAAAUUAAAAUCAAAAUACGAAAAAUUAAUUAGAACAACUCUUAGCAACGGAUAUCUUGGUUCUC
RNAcentral lists this unclassified non-coding RNA (347 nucleotides) under fungal sp. RNAcentral's name for it is "partial internal transcribed spacer region". The stretch from base 1 to 46 matches the Rfam family "Eukaryotic small subunit ribosomal RNA", at positions 1786 to 1831 of the family's 1831-position model. Lineage: Eukaryota; Fungi. The record is from RNAcentral.